CACCAAGUCAACCGUAAUUUUUUUUAAGUUAACUGAGGGAAACAAAGGAAAAUGAACAGUAGCACAUGACAAAAUGAACAGCCAGGGUGCUCCAAGUGAACGGCAUGCCCACACCCUCGGGACUGUACGCACAGCAUGCCCAAAACCUUGCAUUAGUAAUCACCGGACUGCACUAGGAAGUCUUCUGGGCUGAAUACACCAAAACUGACAGCAAAACUGACAGUAAUCUAAAAAUACACCAAAACUGACAGCAAAAUCCACUAGGAAAUUUCCUACAAUAAAGGAAGAGGGAAUCAGAGGCACUGCUUCAAUCUCCCAGGACUACGAGAACAAAAUAAACCGAAAACACAUGAAUUGCAUUAGUGCCUAACGAACUGCAAUGAUUUUCUUUACAAUUCUCGGCCACUGUAGAAUUUGGGCGCGUGGGGGGACGACCUGCGUGGGUUGCCCCGGCGGACUGCACGCUAAGUGGGGGGAGCCCUGGGCUGCUCCACAACAAGGCUUCCAGUGACCUGCACUCCAUACCGAUCUAGGAGACGAGGGCCACAGGGGGAUGCCCGAUCUAGCACACCAACGAGCUGGACGAUGUGGCCGUCGGAGCCCAUCCACCGUUGAGGAGAGGUUGCUCUCUGGGGCUGCGGUGUGCAGCGGUGACGGUGCACCAAGCCGGCCAGAUCGAGCAGCAGUGGCCAGGGUCGGGGCGGCCGGUCGAUGGAAGAUGCAGCGGCGGCGCGGUGCAGGAGGUGCAGCGGCAGCGCGGGGCACCUCUCCGCCACACAACGGCCGUGGGAGGCGUUGCAGGGGUCUUGCCGGAUCCGUCCAGCGCGAGGGGAGGGCGGCGCUCGCCUGUGGGGUGGGGAAUCGGCCGAAUCCCAUGCGCCGGCAAGCCUGAUAUGGUCGUACGGGGCCGGGAAGGCCGGAUCCGGCGCGGGCAAGGCCCUGCUUGCCGAUUUGGUGCCCGCGGCGGACGGAUCGGGGACUGCUGGUGGCCACAGCUGCGGGGGAGGGUGUGGCGGCGGUGGCGCUGUAGGUGGUUGGUCGUGGUAGCGCGUCGCCGGCGGAGGAAGGUAGGGCGCGAGGGAGGGGGAGGUG
This 1092-nucleotide ribosomal RNA is filed under the name Triticum aestivum (bread wheat). RNAcentral's name for it is "partial small subunit ribosomal RNA". Lineage: Eukaryota; Viridiplantae; Streptophyta; Magnoliopsida; Poales; Poaceae. The record is from RNAcentral.